UACGUAGGGUCCGAGCGUUGUCCGGAAUUACUGGGCGUAAAGAGCUCGUAGGUGGUUUGUCGCGUUGUUCGUGAAAACUCACAGCUUAACUGUGGGCGUGCGGGCGAUACGGGCAGACUUGAGUACUGCAGGGGAGACUGGAAUUCCUGGUGUAGCGGUGGAAUGCGCAGAUAUCAGGAGGAACACCGGUGGCGAAGGCGGGUCUCUGGGCAGUAACUGACGCUGAGGCGCGAAAGCGUGGGGAGCAAACAGG
RNAcentral lists this ribosomal RNA (253 nucleotides) under uncultured bacterium. RNAcentral's name for it is "partial 16S ribosomal RNA". It matches the Rfam family "Bacterial small subunit ribosomal RNA", at positions 524 to 776 of the family's 1533-position model. The record is from RNAcentral.